AUGGAACCACAACGACACGUUUCUGCUGCAGUUUUUUUUGCUGGAACUAAGCCGAAAUUUUGCUACCGCAUCUUCUGUUUUGCUGGAACCAGUUUUUUUUCCUACCAGCCAAAUUUUUGCUGCUAUGUUUUGUUUUUGUUGGAACCCGUGUACCUCUUGCUACCAUUAUGUGGGGUUUUGCUGCUACUGGCGUCGAUUUGCUAUAUCCAUUUCAUGACGUCGUCGAGACCCGUGAACUAUGUGUUUUUUGCUGCAAUCGUUCUCAGUUUUGCUACUGCCGGUGUUGACGAUUGCUACAUCCUACCAUAG
This 309-nucleotide ribosomal RNA is filed under the name Triticum aestivum (bread wheat). RNAcentral describes it as "partial small subunit ribosomal RNA". Lineage: Eukaryota; Viridiplantae; Streptophyta; Magnoliopsida; Poales; Poaceae. The record is from RNAcentral.